Podarcis lilfordi (Lilford's wall lizard) is the source of this 93-nucleotide non-coding RNA. The record is from the annotation of a GenBank genome assembly. Lineage: Eukaryota; Metazoa; Chordata; Lepidosauria; Squamata; Lacertidae.
CCUCCAGCUGUUUUGGGUCUGCAAUUCCCUUCAUCCCUGACCACUGAGGUUAGCUAGGGAUGAUGGGAGUUGUAGUCCCAAAACAUCUGGAAG